Non-coding RNA from Dipodomys ordii (Ord's kangaroo rat), 58 nucleotides. NCBI's taxonomy places the organism in Eukaryota, Metazoa, Chordata, Mammalia, Rodentia, Heteromyidae. The record is from Rfam.
UGGCUCAGUGGUAGAGCGCUUGCCUUGCAUGCAAGAGGCCCUGGGUUCAAUUCCUCAG